UAUACCAAUGAUACAAAAUUCAUAUAUCAUAAAAUAGUACUGAUAUUAAAUUUAAUGUUGUAUCAUUUGUCCACAAUGUUCCUAAUAACGUGUGACACAGUUUCUAUUGCUAACAAAUUGCAGAACAUGAAAUCUGGAGCUAUAUUAAGUAUUCUGGGUAAAGUCAUCUGGCAUAGCGACUAUCUUGAAUUGAAAGUCUUAUAGAGUAUUUUCACAUGACAUUUAUGGAGGCUGAGUGCUCACCAGAGUGCCUGUGCUGAGCAGAGUGACCAUGCCAAUGAAACACUUGAACCAGUUGUUUUCUACUAUCUUGCAGCAAGUUUUCCUUAUAUUCUUCCAAAUAUUACCAUUCUUAGAUUCUCUACUGACUUGACCAGGUGAAGAUCUUCGUUCAUAACCUGCCAAGGAGGAAACUGUUAGAAGUGAAUGCCUAGAAGACUCACAAAGAGUAAACAUCUCAAACUUUAGAUGCUUUAUCUUAUUUUACUUCUUUACUGAAUCUGCUAUUGAUGGCCUGUGAUUUACACACAUUUGUCUUUUUACUGCUGCUCAUUGGUCUGUGAUCAGUGAGGAGCAAAGAAGAACUGAACUUGUGGUUUUGGAAGAGGAAAGAAUAACUGAGAAGGCAGCAUGGAAAUGGGAAACUUGAAUGAGACAAUUUGAAGAUGUGGUCAGGAAUGCUGAGGACUUCAUGGGUUGAGUAUAUGUAGCUGCAGGAAGCCUGUCUUCUUGUCAGAGAGAGCCAAUACAAACAAAUACGUCGUUCAACAAGGUUAUAGUUAUUUUAGGUGGGAAAGAUAAGGCUUAUCGAUUUCAUAUCACAAGGCUACUCUAGUUUAUCUUAUGUGGAAGCUUGUUUCAUCAUGGAGACAUCAGACUCUCUGGGUGUGGAUCUGAGGUAUGAGGACACCAUUAACAAUCCCCCAGGUAAUGCCAGUGUGCAGGUAGGUUUAACAGCCAGGGUUACAUUUAAGUACUUCUUAAAAGGUAAUGGAUAAAGAAUAUUUGGGAAUAGAGUUACAAGGGGAUUAUGCUUCCAUAUGUCUGCAUGGGGUUGGAGACUGCAAGGUCUAAUCCUUCUCCACAUGAUGUCAAAGCUACUUUGGCUAGCAAGGUUAUGAACUAGUGCAAGCCAAUAGAAAUAUGGUGAAAAUCACAAUGCAAUUAUAAAGAAAGGAUAUACUAAGGAAUUUUAUUAAACUAUAUGUACUUCAAUAUUAUUAUAUCAUAAAUAUAAAACUGCUAAUUACACAAAUUCUUUUGGCAUAAAACUUCAAAUCCAGUAGGUCUUUCUCAGUUACUGCAUAUCUCAAAUUGGGCCAAUUAAAUUUCAAUUGAUAAAAUCACCAAGUACCUACUAUAUUAGACAACUGAGCUAUAAAUCACUGGAUCCCAUCAACCCAUCAUAUACAAAUAUGUACAGUAUACCAGGUAUUUCCUUAAGAAAAAUAUAAAGGAAUGCAAUACUUACUAAUAAAUUUCCAAUUAAAAUGACCAUGACGUAAAAAGGAAUACACCAAGACUGGCCUGCGACCUUCAUACAAUCCCAUAAUGUCUCUAUCCACUCUCCACAGAGAAUUCGGAACACAAUCAUGUAAGCAUGGAAGAAGUCACUCAUGUGCCAACGGGGGAGCUGACAGUCUUCGUCUAUGUGGCAGACACAAUCUUUGUAACUUUGACCAAACAGCUUCAUGCCGAACACAGCAGAGAAGUAAACGAAUAAGAAGAGCAACAGGAUCAAGUCUUUCAGGACCAUCAAUGUGUUACCAAGGAUUCGCAUCAAAUUCUCAAAUGGUGGACCAUAUUUCCCAAGUUUAAUAAAUCUCAACUAAUAAAUAAAUGCAAAUUAAAAGAGAAACAACAAUAAAAGAUCAGUGUUGAUUAUAAUGCAAACUUGCAUACUUAGUUUCAUCAGAAUUAUAUAGUCAUGUAUAUAUAGCCUUUAAAUUCACACCAGUUUCAACAUUAUAAUGAAAGACAAGUGACUAUUUUACAUUAAUAAUUCAUCUUACACAUUUUAUAAUUUUAUGAACUAAAUCUAUUCAUUUGUUUUUAACCUACUUGUUAAAUCCCACUCAAUAUUGUACUUGUUAUUGUGAUAUGUUUGGAUUUUAAUAUGUGGUAGGGAAAAUAUACACUCUUCAUUCUUGUUUUUCUUUAUAACACAUUGUGUAUUCAUAAUAUAUUAGAUUUCUCCCACAUUUAUACACACAGAAAAUAUUAAAUACUAAUUUCAUGAUGGAAUUAAUUUAACAGAGGAUCCUAAUAUUUCCCUUUAAAUGUUUCAAUAGUGUCAUUUCAUGUUCAAGAAAAUGAGAUAUACUAUGAUAAAAUAAAAACUAGUAGUUCUUAAAUUCUACUUACCGGGAACAAAAUAAAAACAGUUAUCUCUUCAAUACCUGCUAGGAAGAUUUCUGUUAAACCAAAAAAGACAAUUAUACUGUCCAAAAUGUUCCAUGUUACUUGGAAAUACCCAUAUGGAUGCAUAGCAAUUAUCUUCAAAAUCAUUUCUAUUGUAUAGAUUCCAAUAAAAACCUAAAAGGAAACCAAACAUAUGGGUAAGAAGUGUUUCCCAUGGCUGCACCCGACACUCGCAUACAGUCCUGUGAAGUGGAGUGAGCUCCACACGCUUGCCUGCUGCACAGUUCUUUUCAGACCCGGGUUGGUUUCAGGGUCUGUAUGAUAAUAAAG
Molecule: long non-coding RNA, 2691 nt
Organism: Onychomys torridus (southern grasshopper mouse)
Lineage: Eukaryota; Metazoa; Chordata; Mammalia; Rodentia; Cricetidae
Exons: 3
Source: RefSeq, a predicted model, not a curated record